This 613-nucleotide ribosomal RNA is filed under the name Streptomyces sp. YIM 75788 Cn. RNAcentral's name for it is "bacterial SSU rRNA". It matches the Rfam family "Bacterial small subunit ribosomal RNA", at positions 45 to 677 of the family's 1533-position model. The record is from RNAcentral. Lineage: Bacteria; Bacillati; Actinomycetota; Actinomycetes; Kitasatosporales; Streptomycetaceae.
UGCUUACACAUGCAGUCGAACGAUGAACCACUUCGGUGGGGAUUAGUGGCGAACGGGUGAGUAACACGUGGGCAAUCUGCCCUGCACUCUGGGACAAGCCCUGGAAACGGGGUCUAAUACCGGAUACUGAUCACUGCAGGCAUCUGUGGUGUUCGAAAGCUCCGGCGGUGCAGGAUGAGCCCGCGGCCUAUCAGCUUGUUGGUGAGGUAAUGGCUCACCAAGGCGACGACGGGUAGCCGGCCUGAGAGGGCGACCGGCCACACUGGGACUGAGACACGGCCCAGACUCCUACGGGAGGCAGCAGUGGGGAAUAUUGCACAAUGGGCGAAAGCCUGAUGCAGCGACGCCGCGUGAGGGAUGACGGCCUUCGGGUUGUAAACCUCUUUCAGCAGGGAAGAAGCGAAAGUGACGGUACCUGCAGAAGAAGCGCCGGCUAACUACGUGCCAGCAGCCGCGGUAAUACGUAGGGCGCGAGCGUUGUCCGGAAUUAUUGGGCGUAAAGAGCUCGUAGGCGGCUUGUCACGUCGGUUGUGAAAGCCCGGGGCUUAACCCCGGGUCUGCAGUCGAUACGGGCAGGCUAGAGUUCGGUAGGGGAGAUCGGUUUCCUGGUGUA